GUGCGGAGGAUGCGCGCGACGGACUUGCCGGCGGCGAUGUUGGCCUUCUGCGCGUCGAGCCCCUGCAGGCGCGACUUCUUCUCCUGCUCCCGGAGGAUGAUGAAGGGCCGGCCGUACUCGUCGAAGGCGAGCGCCAUGGCGGCCGGAGCGCUGGCGCUGCCCCUCCCAGGUGCUUCCGGAAGGGCGGAUCGGACGAGGACGAGGAGGGGUGCUGUGGUGGGAGGGAAUGAGGCGGCGGUAUGUUUCUGGGGGGAGGGAGGAGGCGCCGCGGGGGCGAGGGUUUGUGGUGCUUUCUUCUUCGUGC
Molecule: ribosomal RNA, 304 nt
Filed under: Triticum aestivum (bread wheat)
Lineage: Eukaryota; Viridiplantae; Streptophyta; Magnoliopsida; Poales; Poaceae
Description: partial small subunit ribosomal RNA
Source: RNAcentral